CAAAUUCCAACACAGAAAAAUUCCCAAUUCUACCUUAUUCUUCACCACAAAAUUAAAACCCUAACAUUUAGGAAAUCUCUCCACUUUCCUUUUCACUACAAGGAGAUUUUCUUUUGACUACAAAGAGAUUAAAAACAAUCCAAAACAAAGCACAAACCAAGUACUCAGACCAAGAUUCGUCAUCAUGUGUUUAAAGAAUUUGGG
This 204-nucleotide long non-coding RNA is filed under the name Panax ginseng (ginseng). RNAcentral's name for it is "long non-coding RNA (PGIN_LNC004825)". Lineage: Eukaryota; Viridiplantae; Streptophyta; Magnoliopsida; Apiales; Araliaceae. The record is from RNAcentral.